Molecule: ribosomal RNA, 301 nt
Filed under: uncultured bacterium
Lineage: Bacteria
Description: partial 16S ribosomal RNA
Rfam family: Bacterial small subunit ribosomal RNA
Source: RNAcentral
CAGUCGCCGCGGGAAUACGUAGGUGGCAAGCGUUGUCCGGAAUUAUUGGGCGUAAAGGGCUCGCAGGCGGUUUCCUAAGUCUGAUGUGAAAGCCCCCGGCUCAACCGGGGAGGGUCAUUGGAAACUGGGAAACCUGAGUGCAGAAGAGGAGAGUGGAAUUCCACGUGUAGCGGCGAAAUGCGUAGAGAUGUGGAGGAACACCAGUGGCGAAGGCGACUCUCUGGUCUGUAACUGACGCUGAGGAGCGAAAGCGUGGGGAGCGAACAGGAUUAGAUACCCGAGUAGUCCCUGUCUCUUAUCA